CAUGGUUCUCGGGUGACACCCCCCCAAAUCAGGCUCCCUCCUCUCUGGUUCUGGGUGCAUCACCCGAGAACCACA
Non-coding RNA from Myotis brandtii (Brandt's bat), 75 nucleotides. Lineage: Eukaryota; Metazoa; Chordata; Mammalia; Chiroptera; Vespertilionidae. The record is from Rfam.